AUUUGACAUAUUUUGAAAAUAUGUAAAAAUAGCUUGACUUUGAACUGUAUUUUCUCAAAAAUGGCCCGUGGCCUCAAUUUCAAAUAUAGCUAAAUGAAAAGCAAAACCUUUUCGGCGUUUGUAGGUAUCAAACAUAUCGUCUGGAAAAUAGGGGCUCACAAUGUUUUAGUUCAGUCGUUGAGACCCAGUUGCUUCGCACGUGUUGUGGUCAAAUUUUUGCCAAGAAUGAAAGGCCGAAAUGUGAACUUCCUUUAUAAAAACCGCUUCGAGAAGGGUCUAGUUUGAAAAUUUAGCUAUUAAUUUCGAUUUCAUGAGCAUAUUUUGGUUACACGUUAAAUAUUUUUGUGCUUGAUGAGAUUCAAAAUUUGUUGUAUAUUCAAGCCCGGCUUUUGUGUAAUUUUGGUGAUGACCGGAACAGAAAUAAAGAUAUUUUAAAAACUGGCCGUGGCCUCACAAUAAAACUUUCUACAAAUGUUCUCUGUUUCAUGUACUUUUAUUUGAUAUCUUAGGUAUAAGCGUAAAAAUAGGGGCUCAUACAGUUUGAGAGGUUGUAAAAUGCAUGACUUGCCUCUAUUUUCAUGUAAACAUUCGAAAUUCUUCG
Molecule: non-coding RNA, 601 nt
Organism: Paramuricea clavata
Lineage: Eukaryota; Metazoa; Cnidaria; Anthozoa; Malacalcyonacea; Plexauridae
Source: the annotation of a GenBank genome assembly